AAUAAAAAAGGCGAUGGAACUCGCCAUAAUCGCCUUCUGGUGAUAUUUAAUACUUAAUCAAAAGGCUGAUGGCUCCUACUUCUCC
Molecule: non-coding RNA, 85 nt
Filed under: Fischerella sp.
Lineage: Bacteria; Bacillati; Cyanobacteriota; Cyanophyceae; Nostocales; Hapalosiphonaceae
Also listed under: 1 other name
Description: Fluoride sequence
Rfam family: Fluoride riboswitch aptamer (crcB RNA motif)
Source: RNAcentral